CCAGUUAAUAUUCUGGUACCGACACACAACCGACAAUACCAAAACACAUGAGACUAACUCCCCGGUCCACCCGUGGCGUCUUCGGAUGUCUGGUUGGUGGGUUGGUGAGGACCUGAGUGUGGAGUCGGUAAGCGUGAGGUGUGACGCAGAAAGGUAGCCAGGCCACGCGAUGGUAGUCGUGGUCUAAGGUCGUAGCAUGUGGGGGUAGGCAAAUCCGUCCCCACACAAGUGUGAGAGCUGAUGGGCGCCCCACAGUGGUGGGGUGGUCUGGUGAUCCUCUGCUGCCGAGAAAAGCAUCGACGUGAGGGUGUGUGUUGCCCGUACCCUAUAACCGACACAGGUGGUCAGGUAGAGAAUACUAAGGUGAUCGAGAGAAUCGUGGUUAAGGAACUCGGCAAAAUGCCCCCGUAACUUCGGGAGAAGGGGGGCCAUCCUGGUGAACAGCCCUUGCGGUUGGGAGCUGGUGGUGGUCGCAGAGGCCAGAGAGAAGCGACUGUUUAUUAAAAACACAGGUCCGUGCGAAGAUGUAAGUCGAUGUAUACGGACUGACGCCUGCCCGGUGCUGGAAGGUUAAGAGGACCCGUUAACCCUUGGGUGAAGCGGAGAAUUUAAGCCCCAGUAAACGGCGGUGGUAACUAUAACCAUCCUAAGGUAGCGAAAUUCC
RNAcentral lists this ribosomal RNA (664 nucleotides) under Burkholderia multivorans. RNAcentral describes it as "bacterial LSU rRNA". It matches the Rfam family "Bacterial large subunit ribosomal RNA", at positions 1426 to 1968 of the family's 2925-position model. The record is from RNAcentral. Lineage: Bacteria; Pseudomonadati; Pseudomonadota; Betaproteobacteria; Burkholderiales; Burkholderiaceae.